This 195-nucleotide small RNA is filed under the name Oryza sativa Japonica Group (Japanese rice). RNAcentral's name for it is "sRNA Os07g0141650". The record is from RNAcentral. Lineage: Eukaryota; Viridiplantae; Streptophyta; Magnoliopsida; Poales; Poaceae.
UUUGUCAGUGCAUCCCAAAGGGUUCUUAACCUGUGGGUAAAACGGAUGCAGUGGGUGGGAUGAAGAGACCAACUUCUCUGCUCAGUUCCUCUUGAUCUUUGAAAAUGUUCCAGUCUCAGAAAAGUAAGUGCUUUGUGUUCCACUGCCUAGCAGGUUCCCAUGGGACUGGGGAUUUGAUAGUUCUAUUCCCUGAAC